Patella vulgata (common limpet) is the source of this 304-nucleotide long non-coding RNA. RefSeq lists it as uncharacterized. The record is from RefSeq and is a predicted model, not a curated record. The transcript is spliced from 4 exons. NCBI's taxonomy places the organism in Eukaryota, Metazoa, Mollusca, Gastropoda, Patellidae.
CAGAGUCAACAGCUCUUUACCAGUGGAAGAUAAAUUGAAUUAUACGGAUGGGAAGCUUGGAUUCGUACAGGGUAUGGCUGAAUCCGGAUUUUCAUGUGACUCGUUAGAGUCAGAAACAUAUGUACUCGGUGCUCCAGGUCUGAACUCCUGGAGAGGUGGAUUUGCUGUAAUAAAGGGAGGUAACUACGAAGAUUCAAUAGUAGAUAUUCCAAGACAAAAACAAAAGAUGAACGAUAAUCUAGGUUAUGCUGUUGUGGGAGGCCGUUUUUGUUCUAACAAAAGGAUAUGUUUUGCUGCUGGGGCA